ACCUCUGCAAUAGGCGAAAGCCUGACAGGGUUACUCUGAGUGAUCUCCGUUAAGGAGAUCUUUUGGCACCUCUAAAAAUGGUGCAGAAUAAGGGGUGGGCAAGUCUGGUGUCAGCCGCCGCGGUAAUACCAGCACCCCGAGUGGUCGGGACGUUUAUUGGGCCUAAAGCAUCCGUAGCCGGUUCUACAAGUCUUCCGUUAAAUCCAGCUGCUUAACAGAUGGGCUGCGGAAGAUACUAUGGAGCUAGGAGGCGGGAGAGGCAAGCGGUACUCGAUGGGUAGGGGUAAAAUCCGUUGAUCCAUUGAAGACCACCAGUGGCGAAGGCGGCUUGCCAGAACGCGCUCGACGGUGAGGGAUGAAAGCUGGGGGAGCAAACCGGAUUAGAUACCCGGGUAGUCCCAGCUGUAAACGAUGCAGACUCGGUGAUGAGUUGGCUACAUGCCAUCUCAGUGCCGCAGGGAAGCCGUUAAGUUUGCCGCCUGGGGAGUACGGUCGCAAGACUGAAACUUAA
RNAcentral lists this ribosomal RNA (511 nucleotides) under uncultured archaeon. Its description in RNAcentral is "bacterial SSU rRNA". It matches the Rfam family "Archaeal small subunit ribosomal RNA", at positions 346 to 859 of the family's 1478-position model. The record is from RNAcentral.